GCGGGUACUAGGCUGUUUGGUCAGGGUCGGAGAGUUUUCACCUAUUUCCACAUCCUCCCGGAGGAAAGUCCAUCUGCCUUCCGAUGUAUAGUCAUGUGGGUAUCUCAGACGUCCUGAGAUGCUGUCUGGAUAUCCUUUGUU
RNAcentral lists this microRNA precursor (141 nucleotides) under Equus caballus (horse). RNAcentral's name for it is "microRNA eca-mir-8939 precursor". Lineage: Eukaryota; Metazoa; Chordata; Mammalia; Perissodactyla; Equidae. The record is from miRBase by way of RNAcentral.